GACAGAGGUGCCGAGCGUUAGGCGGAAUCACUGGGCUUAAAGCGUGUGUAGGCGGGUCGUUAAGUGUCUUGGGAAAUCCCACCGCUCACCGGUGGAACGGCUGGGCAUACUGGCGACCUUGAGAGGCCUAGGGGCAGACGGAACAAGCGGUGGAGCGGUGAAAUGCGUAGAUAUCGCUUGGAACGCCGACGGCGAAAGCAGUCUGCUGGGGGCCUUCUGACGCUGAGACACGAAAGCCAGGGGAGCGAACGGG
RNAcentral lists this ribosomal RNA (253 nucleotides) under uncultured bacterium. RNAcentral describes it as "partial 16S ribosomal RNA". It matches the Rfam family "Bacterial small subunit ribosomal RNA", at positions 524 to 776 of the family's 1533-position model. The record is from RNAcentral.